This is a long non-coding RNA of Anopheles aquasalis, 315 nucleotides long. RefSeq lists it as uncharacterized. NCBI's taxonomy places the organism in Eukaryota, Metazoa, Arthropoda, Insecta, Diptera, Culicidae. The record is from RefSeq and is a predicted model, not a curated record.
AAAUGGUCGCGGUGCAAUGAAGUUGCGAAACGUGGAAUGAAGGUGGACGUGCAAAUUCUUUUGAGUUGUGGGACAGCAACAAAAUCGGCGAUAAAGAGAAUAAACUGCUGUAGAGUCGAAUGUUGAGGACAGAUUCUUCAUGGAAUAAUUCGAUGAUAGUUGGCAAUCUUCGAUGAAAAGAAUAAUAGCAGCAGGUAUGUUGCAUAAUCACGGAGUUAGUUCCGACGUUCAAUCUGGGCCAUGCGCAGGCUGGGCCAACCCAGUUCGGAUGUUCGUGGAAUAGUAUGGAGGAUGAGUUUGACGUUAAAAAAGCUG